AAUACCUACGGGGCGCAGCAGUGGGGAAUAUUGCACAAUGGGGGAAACCCUGAUGCAGCGACGCCGCGUGAGUGAAGAAGUAUUUCGGUAUGUAAAGCUCUAUCAGCAGGAACGAGACAAGACGGUACCUGACUAAGAAGCCCUGGCUAACUACGUGCCAGCAGCCGCGGUAAUACGUAGGGGGCAAGCGUUAUCCGGAUUUACUGGGUGUAAAGAGAGCGUAGACGGUGCGUCAAGUCUGAAGUGAAAGCCCGGGGCUUAACCCCGGGACUGCUUUGGAAACUGGCGCGCUAGAGUGCUGGAGG
RNAcentral lists this ribosomal RNA (305 nucleotides) under uncultured bacterium. RNAcentral's name for it is "bacterial SSU rRNA". It matches the Rfam family "Bacterial small subunit ribosomal RNA", at positions 334 to 655 of the family's 1533-position model. The record is from RNAcentral.